This is a long non-coding RNA of Anolis carolinensis (green anole), 1570 nucleotides long. RefSeq lists it as uncharacterized. The transcript has 2 exons. The record is from RefSeq and is a predicted model, not a curated record. Lineage: Eukaryota; Metazoa; Chordata; Lepidosauria; Squamata; Anolidae.
AAAAAAAGGACCCGUCAUGGUCCAUGCCAUGAUAGACUCAGGAGCCACAAACAACUUCAUUGACAGAGAGUAUGCCGACUCUCUGGGAUUACAAUAUCACGACUUCAAGAACGCCCGUGUGGUGCAAGCCAUCGAUGGCCGCCCCCUCAAGACAGGUCCAGUAAGCCAGUGGUCGGAACCCACCAGAAUGUGGAUAAGGGAACACAUGGAAGAGAUUUCCUUCUUUGUUACCGAGGUUCCCCACUUCCCUGUGAUUUUGGGAAUUCCAUGGCUGACACUCCACGACCCAAGCAUCUCCUGGUCCAACAGAGAACUGCAGUUUGCUUCAAAAUAUUGCCAAAACCAUUGCCUUGUAGCCAAGGUAUGCCAUGCCACAGACGCUGAACCCAUCAUCACCUUGCCCAAGAAGUACUCAGAAUAUUGGGAUGUAUUCAAUGAAAAAGAAGCCGAGAGACUACCCCCACAUAGACCUUAUGACUGUGCCAUUGACUUGGUGGAGGGGGCCCCGAUUCCGCGAGGACACCUCUACUCCCUGACUGAACCAGAGCAAGAAGCUCUCAGGGAGUUCUUAGAGACAAACCUCCGCAAGGGGUUUAUCAGACCCUCUCAAUCCCCAGCCGCUUCCCCAGUGAUGUUUGUGAAAAAGAAGUCAGGGGACCUACGCUUGGUGGUGGACUAUAGAGCAUUGAACAAUAUCACUAAACGAAACCGGUAUCCCCUGCCUUUGAUCUCAGACCUCUUAGACCGGCUUCGAGGGGCUAAAGUUUACACCAAACUGGAUCUUCGAGGAGCUUAUAAUCUAGUUCGCAUCAGGGAAGGGGACGAGUGGAAGACUGCCUUCCAGACAAAAUUCGGGUUAUUCGAAACCCUGGUUAUGAAUUUCGGUUUAUGUGGAGCUCCCGCAACGUUCCAGCAUUUUGUCAACGAUAUCUUUCAGGAUUAUCUAGAUCGGUUCCUGAUUAUCUACCUGGACGAUUUUUUGGUGUUUUCUAGAUCACAAUCAGAACAUGAGAAUCACGUCAGAAUGGUGUUACAACGAUUGCGGGACCACGGACUUUAUGCCAAGUUGGAAAAAUGCGCUUUUGAUCUACAAGAGGUAGAUUUCCUGGGAUAUCGUGUCUCGCCACUAGGGCUCACCAUGGACCCGGCAAAGGUCACAGCAGUAUUGGAAUGGCGGGCGCCAACCAACAAGAAAGAGGUGCAACGAUUCUUGGGGUUCGCGAACUACUACCGCAAGUUCAUUCCAGACUUUGCCCGCUGGUCUGACCCAAUCACCAGCUGCAUCCGUGGGAAACAGCCUUUCCGCUGGACAGAUCAAGCAGAGAAAGGUUUCCAGCAACUAAAGAAAUUAUUCACGUCCCAGCCAAUCCUUCAGCAUCCAGAUCCUGAAACCCCUUUUGUCGUGCAGGCGGACGCCUCCGAUGUGGCGAUUGGGGCUGUACUCCUACAACCAGUGGGAGAUCAUCUCCAUCCUUGUGCCUUUUAUUCCCGUCAAUUGACUGCACCAGAGAGAAAUUACACUAGGCUCAUUCUUAGUUUGCAUGAGAUUGACAUCAGUGAGAUUAUCUGA